This 481-nucleotide ribosomal RNA is filed under the name uncultured bacterium. RNAcentral describes it as "partial 16S ribosomal RNA". It matches the Rfam family "Bacterial small subunit ribosomal RNA", at positions 28 to 507 of the family's 1533-position model. The record is from RNAcentral.
GAUGAACGCUGGCGGCGUGCUUAACACAUGCAAGUCGAACGAAGCACUUUAUUUGAUUUCCUUCGGGACUGAUUAUUUUGUGACUGAGUGGAGGACGUGUGAGUAACGCGUGGGUAACCUGCCUUGUACAGGGGGAUAACAGUUGGAAACGGCUGCUAAUACCGCAUAAGCGCACAGCAUCGCAUUAUGCAGUGUGAAAACCUCCGGUGGUAUAAGAUGGACCCGCGUUGGAUUAGCUAGUUGGUGAGGUAACGGCCCACCAAGGCGACGAUCCAUAGCCGAACUGAGAGGGUGACCGGCCACAUUGGGACUGAGACACGGACCAAACUCCUACGGGAGGCAGCAGUGGGGAAUAUUGCACAAUGGGCGAAAGCCUGAUGCAGCGACGCCGCGUGAGCGAAGAAGUAUUUCGGUAUGUAAAGCUCUAUCAGAAGGGAAGAUAAUGACGGUACCUGACUAAGAAGCACCGGCUAAAUACGUG